GGAAGGAUCAUUACCAAAUUGUCAACACGAGUUGUUGCUGGUCCUCAAACAGGGGGACAUGUGCACGCUCUGUUUACACAUCCACCCACACCUGUGCACCCUCCAUAGUUCUGCAGCCUGGGGGCUCUGUCCCUCUGAUGUGGUCCUAUGUAUUUACACACACACGCUGUAGUAAAGUCUCAUGGAAUGCAUACCGCGUUUAACGCAAUAUAAUACAACUUUCAGCAACGGAUCUCUUGGCUCUCGCAUCGAUGAAGAACGCAGCGAAAUGCGAUAAGUAAUGUGAAUUGCAGAAUUCAGUGAAUCAUCGAAUCUUUGAACGCACCUUGCGCCCUUUGGCUAUUCCGAAGGGCAUGCCUGUUUGAGUAUCAUGAACACCUCAACUCUCAUGGCUUUGCCAUGACGAGCUUGGACUUUGGGGGUCUUGCUGGCUUGUAGUCGGCUCCUCUCAAAUGAAUUAGCUUGCCAGUGUUUGGUGGCAUCACAGGUGUGAUAAAUAAUCUGCGCUUGUGGUUUUCCACCGGGUAACCUUCAUCACUGAAGG
Molecule: unclassified non-coding RNA, 544 nt
Filed under: uncultured Thelephoraceae
Lineage: Eukaryota; Fungi; Basidiomycota; Agaricomycetes; Thelephorales; Thelephoraceae
Description: sequence contains ITS1, 5.8S rRNA gene, ITS2
Rfam family: 5.8S ribosomal RNA (bases 217-371)
Source: RNAcentral